AAGGCUCGUCCUCCCAGGGUUAGUCGGGACCUAAGCUGAGGCCGAACGGCGUAGGCGAUGGUCAACAGGUUGAUAUUCCUGUACCAGUUUCUUUUGUUUGACCGAUGGAGGGACGCAGCAGGCUAAGAUAUGCCCACUGAUGGAUGUGGGUGCAAAUAAUAAGUCUGGCGAUGAGUCAAAUGCUUAUCGCUAAGGACAAGUUAUGACGCGGAGGGAAGUACAGUACCGAAGUAUCUGACGUCACACUGCCAAGAAAAGCUUCUAGGGAGAAAGCAACUGCCCGUACCGCAAACCGACACAGGUAGUCGAGAUGAGAAUUCUAAGGUGAGCGAGCGAACUCUCGUUAAGGAACUCGGCAAAAUGACCCCGUAACUUAGGGAGAAGGGGUGCUAACGCAAGUUAGCCGCAGU
Molecule: ribosomal RNA, 410 nt
Filed under: Dolosigranulum pigrum
Lineage: Bacteria; Bacillati; Bacillota; Bacilli; Lactobacillales; Carnobacteriaceae
Description: bacterial LSU rRNA
Rfam family: Bacterial large subunit ribosomal RNA
Source: RNAcentral